This is a small nuclear RNA of Myotis daubentonii (Daubenton's bat), 108 nucleotides long. Lineage: Eukaryota; Metazoa; Chordata; Mammalia; Chiroptera; Vespertilionidae. The record is from RefSeq and is a predicted model, not a curated record.
GUGCUUGCUUCGGCAGCACAUACAUUAAAAUUGGAACGAUACAGAGAAGAUUAGCAUGGCCCCUGCGCAAGGAUGAUACACACACACACACACACACACACACACACA